AGAUGGCCGGAUGGCCGCUGCGGUCUGCCGCAGAGGAAAGUCCGGGCACCACGGAAGAACGGUGCCGGUUAAUGGCCGGCGGAGGCGACUCCAGGGAAAGUGCCACAGAAAGCAAACCGCCUGAAACGAGUUUCAGGUAAGGGUGAAAGGGUGCGGUAAGAGCGCACCGCUUUUCUGGCAACAGAAAAGGCAGGGUAAACCCCACCGGGUGCAAGAUCAAAUAGGAACGACAAGCCGGGGCAUUCCCCCGGCGGCUCACUUCCGGAGCGUUGUUCGGGUUGAUUGCAUGAGGCGGCUGGCAACAGUCGUCCCAGAUGAAUGGCCAUCCCUUCGGACAACCGGAGGACAGAACCCGGCUUACAGGCCGUCUGGU
This 373-nucleotide RNase P RNA is filed under the name Luteithermobacter gelatinilyticus. RNAcentral describes it as "Bacterial RNase P class A". It matches the Rfam family "Bacterial RNase P class A". From Rfam's summary of the family: Ribonuclease P (RNase P) is a ubiquitous endoribonuclease, found in archaea, bacteria and eukarya as well as chloroplasts and mitochondria. Its best characterised activity is the generation of mature 5'-ends of tRNAs by cleaving the 5'-leader elements of precursor-tRNAs. The record is from RNAcentral. Lineage: Bacteria; Pseudomonadati; Pseudomonadota; Alphaproteobacteria; Emcibacterales; Emcibacteraceae.